This is a long non-coding RNA of Fundulus heteroclitus (mummichog), 368 nucleotides long. RefSeq lists it as uncharacterized. Lineage: Eukaryota; Metazoa; Chordata; Actinopteri; Cyprinodontiformes; Fundulidae. The record is from RefSeq and is a predicted model, not a curated record. The transcript is spliced from 3 exons.
GGCUAAAGAAGAAAAACGUGACAUCACAGCUAACAGCAUUAGCACCCCACAGAAUUCAACGUGUUUGGAGAGACGUGUGGUGCGCAGGAACAAACAUAUACAACAAUGUGCUGCACUCAGGAGAGGACAACAGUUUGCUUGAGCUGUCAAACAUGUUGGAUAACUUCUGUUGUCACUAUUUAAUUAUCCCAAGACUACAACUAAGUUUUCAUACCAUCAGCAGUGGCUGAGAUGACCAUUCACUCAGAACUGAGAGGAAUCUGACACUCAGUCAGUUAUGGGAGAUGGGAAGCAUCCAGCAUGCUGUGGUAGAACCAGAAAUCACAAAAGGGACUCUGCCUGCCUCAUAUUGACAGUGGACUGCUGGA